Molecule: long non-coding RNA, 330 nt
Organism: Anneissia japonica
Lineage: Eukaryota; Metazoa; Echinodermata; Crinoidea; Comatulida; Comatulidae
Exons: 3
Source: RefSeq, a predicted model, not a curated record
CUGAAAUUUGUUAGUGGAUUAGAUCUCUUUCUCAGUGCACAUUCAUGAUGAUAAAACUGCAGGCAUAACCAUACAUUCUGAAGUAUUUCAGCAGUACCAAUAGAAUUUGUUGGUAAAGGAAUUUUUCUCAGUGAAAACUCAUGAAGUAAGAAAGCGUUGAUGUUUGUUUAAAGCCUUAAUGCGGCAGUUGGAGAAACAGGAAAUUACCUGACUUUCAAAGCAAGGGUGAAAAUCCGAAGCCAUCUUGAUUCAAUAUUUCAAACUUAGUUUGGUCACUCUGCAGAAUCUACAAUGGCAUCUUUCAGCAAGAUUUUAAAUUUACUCUGCUAC